CUGGUCGGUGUAUACGGAGCGCCGCACACCCCUGGCGUACCUUUUGGGCCGGCCCAUAUUCGGCGGUCGACUGCUUCUUCUUCGGCAUACUGUUUCUUCGGCAUCGUCCCGUCCUGCGCCGCCCCCCGAGUCCCCGUCUUGCGCCUCCGCGUCCGCCACUUCUUCGCUCGAGUUCCGUCGUCCGCCUCCGCCUCCGCCACUUCUUCGCUUAAGUACUGGUUUUCUUCCUCUCCACCGAUGGCGGCGGAAGAGAUUUCAGGAUCAAGGAAGAAGAGAAACAUAUGAUUGACAAAAUGAGAUCUUAUACUGUGUUGAACAAAAAGUCUUUUUGCCCAGUUCCUUUUUAAGUUGGAUUAUUUUUCUUUUAAGCUAAUUUGUGGGUGACCUACAUAAGUAUAUACCAUAUGCUUUUAGCCGGAAGGAACACUUUCUGUGGCAUUUGACGUUACGUUUUAUGUUUCCUGAUGAGGUCGGUGUAUACGGAGCGCCGCACACCCCCUCUUACCUUUUGGGCCGGCCCAUAUACGGUCGGCUGCUUUUUCUAGCUUUUCCCCGUUCGUCCUUCUUGAUUUCCGCCGCUGGCAGAGCUUCUUCUCGAUUCAUCCCCCGAGUUCGGUCUUCCGCCUCAGCCACUUCCUCGCUCGAGUUCUGUUUCUUUCGAGAUCCCGCACACGAACUACUGGAUUCGUUCCUCUCCAUCGAUGGCUGCGGAAGGGAAGAAGAAAUUCAUUCACGAUUUUUAUGAUCAAGGCGGAAACUGUUCAUGGCAAAAAUUCGUUCAUGCUUUUUUAAUGUUUGAAGCUAGGAGAAACAUUUAUACCAAGAAUAUGUUCAUCCUUUAUAAUGGUAUAAGAAUCCGUUCAUUUCUUGGUUAUGUUCAAUGAAGGAAACCGUGCCAACAAUCUGUUCACGCUUUUAUUUAUGUUCAAGGUAGAAACCGUUCACGCCAAGAAUCCAUCCAGGCUUGUAUUUAUGUUCAAGGUAGAAAACCGUUCAUGCAAAUAAUCUGUUCAUGAUUUUAUUUAUGUUGGUACAAACCUUUAUGCCAAGAAUCCGUUCACGCUUUAUUAAUGUUCAAGCUAGGAAAACCGUUCAUGCCAAGAAUCUGUUCAUGCUUUAUUUAUGUUCAAAGAGGGAAACCGUUCAUGAUUUUUAUUAGUGUUAAACAAAGGAAAGAGUUCAUGACAGGAAUUCUUCAUGAUUUUUUAUGUUCAAGGUAAAACCGUUCAUGCCAAGAAUCUCUUCAGGCUUGUAUUUAUGUUCAAGGUAGAAAACCGUUCAUGCCAAGAAUCCAUUCAUGAUUUUUUUUUAUGAUCAACAAAGGAUUAAGUUCAUGACAAGAAUUCAUUCAUGCUUUCUUAUGUUCAAGGGACAACACCAACAUGGAAAGGAGAAUCAGAGAAAUUGGCAUGAAAAAGCAGAGCUUUGCCAUUUUUAUUUCAGAGAACACACCAGUGGAUGAAAGAUGUUUUGAGUGUACUGAACAAUAGUCUUUUGUAUCUGUCACAACUCACAACAUACUUGCCUGAAUAUGAAAACAUAGUAACAGUGUGCCCUUCUGGUUUAACUGAAUAUGUAACAGUGGAUCUCUGUACUUCAAUGAGCUUUCCAGAGAAGAAUGGAGAUGAUCAUUUGGUCAGGUUACAAGCACUGCUAUGUUUUUUUUGCGAGAGGUUCUCACCAUUCGAGUUAUCUUUUCAUGUAUAUCAGAUGAACAGAUUUUGACAUCACGAGACAGUUUUCCUUUGUAAUAAACAUAUUUUCCAUAUAUUUUUGACUUAUGUA
This is an RNA transcript of Lolium perenne, 1785 nucleotides long. RefSeq lists it as uncharacterized. NCBI's taxonomy places the organism in Eukaryota, Viridiplantae, Streptophyta, Magnoliopsida, Poales, Poaceae. The record is from RefSeq and is a predicted model, not a curated record.